ACUUCAGAAUUUUCUAACUUGUCCCGAAGAGACAGAGAAGCUGUGCUAAAACUUUUUACUUCUUUUUUUCAACAAUCAGUUCAUAGUUUGUUUCUUAGGAGAGAAAAAAACUUUUGCAGGAUGUAGAGAAAAUGAAAAAGCACGGUAAAUUAAUCCUCAAUGGAAAAAAUAUGAAGGAGGCAGCUCAGUUCUUUUCUUUGGUAUUUUCAGUGAUGAUCAGCCACUGCUGCGGCCGCCACAGCCACUUGCCUCCUCUUGAGAGAAAGAGUAAGGAAGUUAGAGGAACAUGGAUUAAGGCAAAGUGAGGCAUUGCAACCUUUCUGCACAGUAAGCACUGCCAUGCAGAAUUCAGCUCACCACAAAGACCUGACAAUUCAAACAGUCUUACAGUUAAUAACACGUAGGAAGUUAAAAAUACUAUACAGAUGGCUAAUUGCCAAGGGAUAGAAAAUAGUUCCUAGAAUAGCCCCGCCUCGUACCAAUUAAAGGAGAAUUUCAGGGAGUGAGACAUAGGCAUUUGUGUUUUUAAAAACCCUCCAGGCAAUUCUGCUAUGCAGCCAAGUUUGAGAAGCAAUGCCUAAGUGAUUUGGGUUUUCAUUGUUAUCUACUCCAAGAUUGUUAUCCACUCUUUAAAUGAAAAGAAAUCUACAAUGCCUUGUGGAUUUACAGGAACAAGGAGGUUUGGCUAUCGUUACAUGAGAGAACGUUACCCAAGGACAAAGAAGUUUCACAGACUUCCCCUGGACCCUUGUUGGUGCCCAGAUGUCUGCGGUUCCCUGUCACUUAAAUAUAAAAGACAAGGCAAAGCUCGCAUAAUUCUAAGAUGGUUCUUUAGGACAUUGGUCUGCUUCUUCUUGGUUUCCUGGCUCCCCAAAAUAAAGUCGCUUUCCUUCCUCCACCUCCUUGUCUCUUGACUUAUUGACGUGAUGUGGCAAGAAGAACAAGUUUGGACUCAGUCACAAUCCAUCCCACACUUCCUCUUCUCCUUCCCUGCUUCCUUUGUCCCCAUGGCAUUUACCACCUUCUAGUGCAUUAAUUUUGUCACGGUGAUUAUUUAUGAUCCGU
Molecule: long non-coding RNA, 1065 nt
Filed under: Homo sapiens (human)
Lineage: Eukaryota; Metazoa; Chordata; Mammalia; Primates; Hominidae
Description: HSALNT0320369
Source: RNAcentral